UACAACUUUCUCAUGUGCUGGAUCCUUCCUGCCCUCGAAUAUUGGAAUCCAAGUUCUUCAGUUUUGGGACUCGCACUGGCUCUUCUUGCUCCUCAGCUUGCAGACAGCCUAUUGUGGGACCUUGUGAUCGUGUUUCGUGCAACGGAUACAAGCAAUGAAAUUUCAACAGAAAUUUCCUGGGGUAGGAUGCAGAGUUCUUAGGAAAUCUUCUGUUUUCUUAUAAAAGUAAGAGCCUGAAGUAGGUGAUGAUUCUUAUCACAUUUUACUGCUUUGAAAUAGAAAAUAAAGCCUGAAGAUUCAGUGGGAAAUUUUUCAACCAUGAAAUGAUAGACAAUCUGCUAAGUAAAAUAAUCACAAAAGAAAGGAGGAGACCGUAUUGUUAAACCAUUGAAGUCCUGGGCUGCUAUCUCUUGAUUUCUUGGUGUUUGAGGAAAUAAAUACCUCUGUUAAAUUCAGUUUAUGUUUACUUUUUGUGUAUGUUUUUGCCUUCAAACACAUUUUUAAAGUAUUCAAGAGUGUAUGAGGGCUAAAGCUCUAUGAAUCAUCCUGAAAUCUUAAGGUUUGCAUUCAUGAAUAUUAUUUGAGGAUGUGUGGUAUGGUUUGGAUUUGUGUUCCUGCUCAAAUCUCAUGUUAAAUUGUAAUCCCCAUUGUUGGAGGAGGGACCUGGUGGGAGGUGAUUGGAUCAUGGGGGCCAACUUCCCCUUGCUAAUCUCAUGAUAGUGAGUGAGUUCUCAUGAGAUCUGGUUGUUUAAAAGUGUGUAGCACCAACCCAGCACUUUGGGAAGCUGAGGCGGGCAGAUCACGAGGUCAGGAGAUCGAGACAUCUUGGCUAACACGGUGAAAACCUGUCUCUACUAAAACUAC
This 864-nucleotide long non-coding RNA is filed under the name Pan troglodytes (chimpanzee). RNAcentral's name for it is "lincRNA". The record is from RNAcentral. Lineage: Eukaryota; Metazoa; Chordata; Mammalia; Primates; Hominidae.